GGUUCUAUGGUCUAGUGGUAUGACGUCUCUCUCACUCAGAGAAGGUCUCGAGUUCGAUCCUCGAUGGAACCA
Transfer RNA from Spathaspora passalidarum NRRL Y-27907, 72 nucleotides. It matches the Rfam family "tRNA". From Rfam's summary of the family: Transfer RNA (tRNA) molecules are approximately 80 nucleotides in length. Their secondary structure includes four short double-helical elements and three loops (D, anti-codon, and T loops). The record is from Rfam. Lineage: Eukaryota; Fungi; Ascomycota; Pichiomycetes; Serinales; Debaryomycetaceae.